This 286-nucleotide ribosomal RNA is filed under the name uncultured Segetibacter sp. RNAcentral's name for it is "partial 16S ribosomal RNA". The record is from RNAcentral. Lineage: Bacteria; Pseudomonadati; Bacteroidota; Chitinophagia; Chitinophagales; Chitinophagaceae.
CUACAAGGGUAUCUAAUCCUGUUUGAUCCCCACGCUUUCGUGCCUCAGUGUCAAUAUCCCUGUAGAUAGCUGCCUUCGCAAUUGGUGUUCUAUGUCAUAUCUAAGCAUUUCACCGCUACAUGACAUAUUCCGCUAUCCUCCAGAAAAUUCAAGACCCGUAGUAUCAAUGGCAGUUUCCGUGUUAAGCACGGAGAUUUCACCACUGACUUACAAACCCACCUACGCACCCUUUAAACCCAGUGAAUCCGGAUAACGCUUGCACCCUCCGUAUUACCGCGGCUGCUGG